UCGAUAUAAGCGACACGUCGUUUGUGUCCUUGCAACUCCACCAGCCAUUCGGUCAAAUUCCUUGACAAUCCGCCAUCAGUGCAAUCAUCGGAACAGGACGCGAUGAUGUUGUCAUUGAAUGGAUUCCAUUUGAUGUCCAAAACAGGACCGGUAUGUCCAGUUACUCGGCUGGCGUUGAAGUCAAGUCGUCCGGUCUGCAACAAGUGUGACAAAUGAUUGAUGUAUUGCUAUGUACUGAUGAACGCGACAUAAAUAUGUUAUAUGAAAAUCUGUAAUUAAUUGACUAGAAUCGAUAAAUCGAUAAGGCACAGACUACUCACGCGAUCCAAUGAUAACACAAGGAACGCUCCACCGCCCG
Molecule: long non-coding RNA, 358 nt
Organism: Trachymyrmex septentrionalis
Lineage: Eukaryota; Metazoa; Arthropoda; Insecta; Hymenoptera; Formicidae
Exons: 3
Source: RefSeq, a predicted model, not a curated record